Molecule: long non-coding RNA, 832 nt
Organism: Heterocephalus glaber (naked mole-rat)
Lineage: Eukaryota; Metazoa; Chordata; Mammalia; Rodentia; Bathyergidae
Source: Ensembl
GUGGUAGCCAUGGCCAGAGUGCCUCACCCAGCCAGGGCAGGACAAAGGGAUAGCACAGUGGAGGUGGCUUUAAAUCAGGACCUGAAGAAGAGAAAUGAAAGACUGGGGAGUACUGCAGAGAAAACAGAACAUUGUUUUCUUUGAGACUUCAUUAUCAUCAAGACAUCAAGGAAAGCACCUGCAGUCCCUAAGCAGCCUUCACCUAGCCAAGGACACCCCACCCCCACCAGGGGAAGGAAGGCUGACUGACUGCUGCCCCUCAUCAUUGCUGCCUGCAUUGUGGGAGAACACAGGCUGGAUGAGUGGACCCUUUGAAGACACCACACUAUGCAAACCCUACCUGUGCAGACCAACAGCAGCAUGGGACUGCUUCUAAAUGCAGGGUCACACCCCACUGAAACCUGCAUUUCAAUGAGAUCCAAAUUGCGUGUGCUCCUUGGGGUUUGAAAGCUGUGGGCUAGAGCAUGUGUAUGCCCCCACUCCAACUGGAGGAAAAACCAAAUUCCCUACAGCUCUCAAUCAUAAGCCUGACCCCAUCGCAGUAAACAAUGCUGAUGGUGGAGAUGCCAGGCUGCCAGAGAUUAAGGGAAAUGCCACUGUUUUCCUCAGCAUGUAAGAAGCAAAGCUGAUCAGCCUGAUUCCCGUAGAUGCUGUGGAUUCCCUGGAAGCACACAGGAGGUGAGCUGCUCCCAGUGCACAAGAGGAGGCUUCCAGACCGCCAUACCACCCCCGUCAUUACACAAGAGUAUAAUAUUUUAGUGUUAUGGCUGACCAUGAGAAGUGAAGCCAGAGAAGAGGGGACUAUUAUAUUCCAUGCCAAAGAACAGACAAG